GACGAACGCUGGCGGCGUGCUUAACACAUGCAAGUCGAGCGGUAAGGCCCUUUCGGGGGUACGACGAGCGGCGAACGGGUGAGUAACACGUGGGUGACCUGCCCUCAGCUCUGGGAUAAGCCUGGGAAACCGGGGUACUAAUACCGGAUAUGACUCCAUGACGCAUGUUGUGGGGUGGAAAGCCUUGUGCGGCUGAGGAUGGGCCCGCGGCCUAUCAGCUUGUUGGUGGGGUGAUGGCCUACCAAGGCGACGACGGGUAGCCGGCCUGAGAGGGCGACCGGCCACACUGGGACUGAGACACGGCCCAGACUCCUACGGGAGGCAGCAGUGGGGAAUCUUGCGCAAUGGGCGAAAGCCUG
Molecule: ribosomal RNA, 359 nt
Filed under: uncultured bacterium
Lineage: Bacteria
Description: bacterial SSU rRNA
Rfam family: Bacterial small subunit ribosomal RNA
Source: RNAcentral